AGCGUAGUUCGGAAUUACUGGGCGUAAAGCGCGCGUAGGCCGUUGAGUUAGUUAAUUGUGAAAUCCCAAAGCUUAACUUUGGAACUGCAAUUAAAACUGCUCGACUAGAGUUUGAUAGAGGAAAGCGGAAUACAUAGUGUAGAGGUGAAAUUCGUAGAUAUUAUGUAGAACACCAGUUGCGAAGGCGGCUUUCUGGAUCAACACUGACGCUGAGGCGCGAAAGUAUGGGUAGCAAAGAGGAUUAGAUACCCUCGUAGUCCAUACCAUAAACGAUGAUUGCUAGAUGUUGGAAAUUUAUUUUCAGUAUCGCAGCUAACGCAUUAAGCAAUCCGCCUGGGGAGUACGACCGCAGGUAAAACUCAAAUGAAUUGACGGGGACCCGCACAAGCGGUGGAGCAUGUGGUUUAAUUCGAAGAUACGCGCAGAACCUUACCAACCCUUGACAUGUCUGUCGCGAGUUAGGAAACUAGACUUUUCGGUUCGGCCGGACAGAACACAGGUGCUGCAUGGCUGUCGUCAGCUCGUGUCGUGAGAUGUUGGGUAAGUCCGCAACGAGCGCAACCCCUACUUUUAGUUGCCAUCAGGUCAUGCUGGGCACUCUGAAGAACUGCCAGUGAUAACUGGAGGAAGGUGGGGAUGACGUCAAUCCUCAUGGCCCUACGGGUGGGCUACACACGUGCU
RNAcentral lists this ribosomal RNA (681 nucleotides) under uncultured Alphaproteobacteria bacterium. RNAcentral's name for it is "bacterial SSU rRNA". It matches the Rfam family "Bacterial small subunit ribosomal RNA", at positions 537 to 1226 of the family's 1533-position model. The record is from RNAcentral. Lineage: Bacteria; Pseudomonadati; Pseudomonadota; Alphaproteobacteria.